RNA transcript from Centropristis striata (black sea bass), 6081 nucleotides. It is a transcript of the gene named QKI, KH domain containing, RNA binding 2, with no coding region annotated. The record is from RefSeq and is a predicted model, not a curated record. The transcript has 8 exons. Lineage: Eukaryota; Metazoa; Chordata; Actinopteri; Perciformes; Serranidae.
CUCCUCCCUCCCUCCCUGUGAUAGCGGCGACGCGCGGCGCGCUCCUGACAGCCCACUCGUGCUGCUGCUAUACUGUAAUCAUAUGAUAGGGAGUCGAUCCCCGCUGCAGAAUACCGACACACCGGGCCGGACACCAGCAGAGCAGCCGGGGCGGAGGACACCAGUUGAUGGUAGAUUUUUGAGCCUUUGAAGAAGUGCGUGGAGUCCGUUGAAGUGUCAAAAACAGCCAAACUCCCCCUAUAAAGGAACUUUUUCAAACUCUGAAGAGAGUCGGAAAGAAGGGGGAACCGUGUGGAAGAAGACAGGGCGCACAGACGAAACGUUGACCGAAGGACAGUCGAUUUAACCGGAGCUUUGAGAUUUGAGGUUGAAGCAGCUAUAACAAGAAGAGAGGCGGUCAGGCGGGUCGCGGCCGGUGGAAACCCCUGGGGUCCUCGCAUCGCUGCUUCUCGGGGUGUUGUUUUUUUGUGAAUUUCCCCACAAGUUUCUCAACCAUCUAGGUCACUUUAUCGUUAAAGCCAUGGUCGGGGAGACAGAGGUGAAGGAGAGACCCAAGUCCAACCCGGACUACCUAAUGCAGCUGAUGAACGACAGGAAGGUGAUGAGCUCCCUGCCCAACUUCAGCGGCAUCUUUACGCAUCUGGAGCGGCUGCUGGAUGAGGAAAUCGGCAGGGUACGCAAGGACAUGUACAAUGACACGGUGAACGGCGGCAUGUUUAACGGGCGGGACAUGGAGGAGCUCCCCGAAGCUAUCGGCCCCGUGGCUCAGCUGCAGGAGAAGCUCUAUGUGCCUGUCAAAGAGUACCCUGACUUUAACUUUGUAGGGAGGAUCCUCGGCCCGCGUGGACUGACGGCCAAACAACUGGAGGCAGAGACUGGCUGCAAGAUUAUGGUGCGAGGAAAGGGCUCCAUGAGAGACAAGAAGAAGGAGGAGAUGAACCGAGGGAAGCCCAACUGGGAGCACCUCAGCGAGGACCUCCACGUCCUGAUCACAGUGGAGGACACACACAACCGGGCCAAGAUCAAACUCCAGCGGGCCAUCAACGAGGUCAAGAAACUUCUCGUGCCAGCUGCUGAGGGGGAGGACAACCUGAAGAAAAUGCAGUUGAUGGAGCUGGCCAUUCUCAAUGGGACCUACAGAGACGCCAAUGUCAAGACGCCCACCGCCGGUUUCCCUCUAGGGACCCCUCAGGCGCCUCGGAUCAUCACAGCCCAGACGCCCGUCCUGCCUCCCUCACUGCGCAACCCCGCCCCUGUCUCCACACCGACCAUCAUGCCUCUGAUUCGUCAGAUCCAGAGCUCCGCCCUCGUGCAGGGAGGCAAUCCGCACCCAGCGCUGGUGCAGCAAGGGCCUGAAUCUGGAAUAAUCUACACGCCGUACGAGUAUCCCUACACACUCACGCCCUCCAUAUUGGAAUACCCGAUUGACUCGACUGGAGUAUUAGUCCCUUCUUCCUGUGUUUUUGCAGGUAUGGCUUUCCCAACCAAAGGCUAAGCGAUAGCAACUCUUCCUAGCACACACACGGACUGGCUUGCAGAGACCCCCCCUCCCCCCAUCCCCUCCUUCCCUACAUACUUGUCCCACAGAGCAAACACUCAAAGUUUGCUCAUACGUUAGGAUGACAGAUUCCUCGACAGUCAUUCUGUAGUCAAGUGUCCAUUCCUGUUAAUUUCCUCUUUGUAUUAGCAGACUAGUGUUGUGGUGUGACAGCUACUUAACUUUUUUUAAUAGUUCAGCUUCUGCUUGUAAUUUUAACACAUUUUUAGUGAAGCCAUAGAUAUUUUAGCGCCGCUGUUUGUGAUUUAAUAUAAAGCUUAUUUUUAAUCACAGAGCUAUAGAGUGACUUUGCUUACAGCCGAUGUUGAAUCUACUAGUGAAGCUUAGUGAGAAAUUAGUGGUUUGGAUUAAUAUUUUCUUUAGAGAACAGAAGACCACAAAACAACAAUAAUUCUGUCUCUUAUUAGAUGUUUUGACUUAUUUUCACCCUCAGCCUUGAACACUUGUAAAUUCCUGGUUUCACUGAUGUUGGUGCCAGUGGACUGUUUGAUGUCUUUCUGAUGAGUAACCUUCUGUGUUCUGUUUUGGCGAUGUCAAUGGCUGUUAGCAGGUGCCAUGACCACUAAGGUACGACGCCACGACAAGAGAAUCCAUCCUUACCAAAGGGUAGUGACCCCAGACAGAGCUGCCACGGCAACUAACCCAUGACCCCUUGACCUUCUGACCUUUCCGCCCACUGAUGACCCACCCAUCUCUGCCUGCUGGCGUGCUCAUUGGCCCACGGCCCCGCCACUCCCCCAGCUCAGCCAACCAGACCAGCACAUUGGGAACAACCCCGGCUGCUUCUGUCUAACCAGCCAACCAGACGACAGCGAUCAUGGGAAUAAACCUCAGGACCCACCCAUCACCAAGUCCUAACCUAAACUUUACCAAACGUGCCUUCCUUCCAAAAGUCCAAAGCCAGUCUGAGAAUGUUCUAUAACCAGUAGAAUUCCCAAUCUGUAACAGCUGUUGCCGUGCAUAACCAGUAGACUGUACUGGUGAAGGGCUCCUAAACCAAUCCCUGGCUGUGCCAACUGUCUCACUGAGCUGCCCUCAGUCCAUGUGAUGCAAUAAUAAUAAUGACUCUAUUAAUAACAUGGUAACUACACUGAUAAUAAUGGUACUUAUCCGGCACAGAAACCUUUCAUAAACACUAAAAACUAAACGAGAUAUGUUGAUAUUUUCAAGCAUCUGUCUUCAUCGGGCACCUCUUCUUAAAAAGGGAAACUUUGGUAUUUUUCAUACUGGACCCAGUUUUCCCACAUUUUUGUGUUGAAGUGACUAAUGGAGAACAGGUUUUGAAAUUGGUCCAGUACUGAACGAGAGAUGUACAUCCACUAAAAGUGCCUGGAAUUGCCACAGCUCCUAUUGUGUCUGACAAUAACAUAAGGUCCGUUUCCAUCCAUCCAUUUUCAAUUUAGGCUUAAAAAAACCUGAGUGGGAAAGCAGAAAAUUCAAAAACAUCUUGAACUAUCGCAAAAAUGUUUUUAUGCUUUGCUGAAGUGGAAAAGUUAGUGUGCCAAUAAAUGUAAAAAAAAAAACUGCAAAGUGCAAUUGAAACAGAUUUUUUGCGAAUAAAUGAUGACGUACAUAAAGCCUCCGCUCUGCUAAGGAAACGGAAAAUAGCAACACAUUAAAAGCUGCGGCCCCACAUUGUCGAAUAUUCCCCGUUCACAUCCUUUUUACACGGGCAAAGGGGCAACUGAAACAUUUGCUCACAGCUGCAAAACUAAUUUGCAUUUUCGUUUCACGUUGUGUUCAACCAUGGCUAACUUUGACCCGGGAAGUCGCAGCCUCACCCAAAACCCACAUAGCAAUGGUCACUCGCCAUGUUCGACAGCAGCCUUAAACUGUCUGCUCAUCACUCCUUACAGAUCUGAUGUAACCUCUUUGCAUUAAUAAUUGGGUAAAAAAUGGAAUACCAAAUUUCCAAUCAAGUUUCUACUUUGUUUUUUUUACCAUUUGAGAUUCAACUGACACAUUUCUAGUUACGUCAUCUUGUCCACCCUCUUCUUCUGCAAUGAUUUAAUGGAUUUCCAACAGAAGAAACGGUGCGACCUACUGCCUAUCUUGAUCAACCAAUUCCUAAUAGUAAUAAUAUAACCAUAGAGGAUGGAAACAAGCAUUAAUUUUUUUCGCUGAUUUUCUCUAAAUCUUUUCAAAUUUGCGAUACAAGGACGUUUGUUUGUUCUGAAAUCUUGCUUGGUGACUUGUCAGACAGGUUGGAACUCCUACGAAAAGUAAUGCACUGAAUUGCGUAGCUAUCUCACAAAAUUUAGUCAGUUUAUGUAGCAUACAGACCAAGAAAACCCAGGACUUUAACACGGGAGAACGUUGUUCUGGGUCACUGAUGUACAGUAACUACGUUCAGUAGUUCAGUAAUUUUAAGCCGAACCCAGCUAUUAUUUCCUGACUCAACAAGUGAUUUUGUUGCCCAAACAUAAGUAGGUCAGUAUCAAAACCGUACCAACAUGUUUAUAACAGCAACCGUUAUUUUGUAGGAUAUCUUACAUUUUCAAUGUCAUUGCUGAAUAUUUAGCAGAUUUUGACAAAAUCAAAGAGGCAACAAGAGCGAGAAGUAAAGAAAAAUGGUCCUUUUCAUGUUGUCAGACACUUAUAAUAACAAUUGGAGAACUUUUUGUGGAAGUAUAUUAAUGGCACACAAUUACAAGAACAAUUACAUUGCAGCCUGCUUUGUUGCAGCGCUCCCGUCAAAGUCUUUAUCAAUAAAAGUAGCUGGCACUGGCUCCAAAAGUCAACCAGAUUAUGUCAUACGCUGAUUUGCAUUUUGGUGACGCCAUCGUGCAUGAUUUGUAUGAAGCUUAGAGGCCGGCUCGGCACAAGAGAGGAGGUAAAGAGUCUGUGCUGCUGGCAGAAAAGCUGUGGACUCUUGAGAAUCCUGCUUGGGAAUGAUUUACACAAUAAUAUGUUUCUUUCUUUUUGAACAAUGGUCUGAAAAGUCACUAAAUCUAGUGAUAAAAUCAGCAAAUUUGCAACACUGGCUCUCGCUUGAUACUGUAGCAAUUUCAAAAAGGUUUGUCCCCAUGAAUCACUUGGCCACAAGAACAUGGGAACUUGGUCUCAAGGUUGAAAAAAUCCUGAAGUUUCCUUUUCAAUUUUCCACACAUUCUUUAGAGGGAUAAGUCUUUUCUGGGCCAGCAUACAUCAAUUAAUUUACGCAUCAUAAUCAGUGUUAGAAUGUCCACAUAUUACCAUGUUUCCCCUUGAGAUGUAACUCCAACAUGUGGUUCCCAUGAUGAGUUUUAAAUGUCACUAGCUUUUUUUACUCUGUGCCUCAUUUCCUGUAAAAAUGACACAUUUCUCUCUUUAACACAUUUGAAUGAAGGGGGGAAAAAGGUAAAAUGCCAGUUUAAAGCAACAGGUGCUCAGUGAGGAACAAAAACAAACUGGAAACUGAAAUGCCAAAGUGUCUCUUGAGUUGUUUUUAAUAGGUAAAGUAUCCCAAUACUGAGUGGAUAUAUGCAGAAUAAAUGCCAAGUCUGUAAAGCACAGGAACACACACACACACAAAGGGAAGGUUGCAUUUCUUCUGUCUGAAUGGAAAGGACCUACACAACGAUGCCUUUGCCUUUUUCACACUACAGUAUUGUACGAGCUCGAACAACAGUGCCUUUAUUUAUUUGAGAGCGAUGGAACAAUGUUACACCUAAAUCUUUUUUGCUGCGACAUCUUUGGGGUUUGUGCCCAGCAUCAAAUUAUGUCCUUUGGGUUUAUGCAGAUUAAUUCUCAUCAUCUACAUUUUAUGGCUUUACAUCCACAACCCUCCUCAAGUCAGAUUUUAGUGCCAAAAAACACGUAAAAAAAGUGGCUCAUUUGAAUUGGAGGUGCAAUGCAGCAUUGAAGCAGCAGCUACAUGUCUGAAAUGUUUAUGUAUGAGGUUCGGAUGCCUCGAGAGAACAGUGUUACCUUUUUUUUUUGUUUGUUUGUUUGUUUGUUUUGUUGGAAGUCGUCCAUAUCUAUAUUUCUGCAUGUUAUACACACAAACCAAGUGAUGCCUUGACAUAAAAAAAGAAAGAAAUCAUGGAGCCGUAACAUCUGUAACAAGUUUAUAAUGUAUUUUUAUAUUCUAUUUUGUACGUGAAAAUAACAUUAAAUGACCUUUUCAGAUAAGAAGAUCAUGCCUUAUUAUGGAGAGUAAUUUGAUGAGCAUUAACGAUCCUUCAUGUGUCACUAUUGGUGAUCACUGUCCUGAUAUACUGGAGUCUCUCAUGUAUUAACUUGAGCCUUUGAGAUCAACGUUGCUUGCCCUCUGUGCCUUUUGUAUACUCUGAGUGUGACAAUUAACAGUGUAGUACCACAUUAAUCUACUCUUCAAGUGUAGGUUACUAACUGUUACCACUUCUGUGAUUAUUAACCACUUUAAUUGUAUCUGUCUCUGCUUUGGAUUCCUUUAAAAACAAUACAUGUGUGUCUAAAAAAAAAGAUGAAAAAGAAACGUAUGUGAUGAACUUUUAACUUUUAAAGUGAGCAGGAAUAACUCUUUGUACACUAUUAAACUCAUAGUUGUUUAAACUAACAAA